GGGCCUGUAGCAUAACUGGUGAAUGCAUUCGACUCAUAAUCGACCGAGUGUAGGUUCGAGUCCUACCGGGCCCACCA
RNAcentral lists this transfer RNA (77 nucleotides) under Minisyncoccota bacterium. Its description in RNAcentral is "tRNA-Ile". It matches the Rfam family "tRNA". Rfam says of the family: Transfer RNA (tRNA) molecules are approximately 80 nucleotides in length. Their secondary structure includes four short double-helical elements and three loops (D, anti-codon, and T loops). The record is from RNAcentral. Lineage: Bacteria; Bacillati; Minisyncoccota.